RNAcentral lists this long non-coding RNA (334 nucleotides) under Gossypium barbadense (sea-island cotton). Its description in RNAcentral is "long non-coding RNA (GBAR_LNC007259)". Lineage: Eukaryota; Viridiplantae; Streptophyta; Magnoliopsida; Malvales; Malvaceae. The record is from RNAcentral.
UGCGACUGCCGAAACAUCUGCAUCAUUUGCUGUAGCUGUAGCGGAAGCUCAUCGUACUUUAUGUUCUGCUCUACUGUCAUCGCUGCUGCCUCUGGCUCCCUUGCUGCUACUACUGCCUCCCUCGCUGCUGUCACUGCCUCCUUCUCUGCUGCCUUCGUUCGCUCUAAGUUGUUGCUGGAGUUCUUCAUAUUUUCUUUGAACCUUGGCAAUUUGCUCAACUGUGCUCGCUUGCAUCUGAGCUAUCUGGUCUCUUAACCUUUGAACAUCAGCUUGAGCUUGACUCUCAGAAGGCAUGUAUUGCUGGGAGCUGGAUCCAAAAUAUUGGGUCGGGAUG